AAGUGUGACAAAAGCAAAGAUUGAAAACCUAGCGGAAACUUUAAGAUUCAGGAGAACCUAGAGGAAACCUUUGAGGUUUAGGAGAACCUAGAGGAAACUUUAAGACUCAGGAGAACCUAGAGGAAACUUAGAGGUUUAGGAAAACCUAGAGGAAACUUUAAGAUUCAGGAAAAACUAGAGGAAACCUAGAGGUUUAGGAGAACCUAGAGGAAACUUAGAGGUUUAGGAGAACCUAGAGGAAACCUAGAGGUUUAGGAAAACCUAGAGGAAACCUAGAGGUUUAGGAGAACCUAGAGGAAACUUUAAGAUUCAGGAAAAACUAGAGGAAACCUAGAGGUUUAGGAGAACCUAGAGGAAACCUAGAGAUUCAGGAGAACCUGGAGGAAACCUGGAGGUUCAAUGGAACCUAAGGAAAACCGGAAGAUUUAGGAGAACUUAGAGGAAACCUGGAGGUUCAGUGGAACCUAAGAAAACCUGAAGAUUGAAGAGAACCUAGAGGAAACCUAGAGAUUCAUAAGAACCUAGAGGAUUUGUAUCUUUAUUUUGCCAUUUUAGAAAUAAUAAUUCAUACAAAAAAUGGUUUCGUGUGCAAUAUUACUCGUUCUAGUCCUAGCGGGCCUAACUUCGGCAAAAAGAAAAAAAUCCAAUGAUUUUUGGAAUCUGACAGAUACUCGAAUUUGGGAGAAUUCCUCAGCGGAAAAUGAGAAUUAUGAAGAUGGAACACCGAGAAUAUUCAAUUCUCUUUUCCCUCCAGGAUCCACUUUUAGUCUAUUUUUUGAAAUUGCCGGAGUGCUGUUUCCUGUAACUGAUACAAUAUCACAAGAAUU
This is a long non-coding RNA of Eurytemora carolleeae, 827 nucleotides long. RefSeq lists it as uncharacterized. Lineage: Eukaryota; Metazoa; Arthropoda; Copepoda; Calanoida; Temoridae. The record is from RefSeq and is a predicted model, not a curated record. The transcript is spliced from 3 exons.